RNAcentral lists this ribosomal RNA (447 nucleotides) under uncultured bacterium. RNAcentral describes it as "bacterial SSU rRNA". It matches the Rfam family "Bacterial small subunit ribosomal RNA", at positions 355 to 825 of the family's 1533-position model. The record is from RNAcentral.
UGGGGAAUCUUGGACAAUGGGCGCAAGCCUGAUCCAGCCAUGCCGCGUGGAUGAUGAAGGCCUUAGGGUUGUAAAAUCCUUUCGCCGAGGACGAUAAUGACGGUACUCGGAGAAGAAGCUCCGGCUAACUUCGUGCCAGCAGCCGCGGUAAUACGAAGGGGGCUAGCGUUGUUCGGAUUUACUGGGCGUAAAGCGCGUGUAGGCGGGUCGUUAAGUUGGGGGUGAAAUCCCGAGGCUCAACCUCGGAACUGCCUUCGAUACUGGCGACCUGGACCCAAGGAGAGGCGAGUGGAAUUGCGAGUGUAGAGGUGAAAUUCGUAGAUAUUCGCAGGAACACCAGUGGCGAAGGCGACUCGCUGGACUUGUGGUGACGCUGAGAUGCGAAAGCGUGGGGAGCAAACAGGAUUAGAUACCCAGGUAGUCCCUGAGCGGGCUGGCAAGGCGCAU